RNAcentral lists this ribosomal RNA (496 nucleotides) under uncultured microorganism. RNAcentral's name for it is "bacterial SSU rRNA". It matches the Rfam family "Archaeal small subunit ribosomal RNA", at positions 234 to 734 of the family's 1478-position model. The record is from RNAcentral.
UGUUGGGGUAACGGCCCAACAAGCCUUUGAUCGGUACGGGUUGUGGGAGCAAGAGCCCGGAGAUGGAUUCUGAGACAUGAAUCCAGGCCCUACGGGGCGCAGCAGGCGCGAAAACUUUACAAUGCGAGCAAUCGUGAUAAGGAAACCCUGAGUGCCUGUCAACGCAGGCUGUUCUGGUGUCUAACACACACCAGGAGAAAGGGCGGGGCAAGACCGGUGCCAGCCGCCGCGGUAAUACCGGCUGCUCGAGUGAUAGCCACUUUUACUGGGCUUAAAGCGUUCGUAGCUUGGUCGUUAAGUCUCUGGGGAAAUCUUUUGGCUCAACCAAAAGGCGUCUCAGGGAAACUGGCGACCUAGGAACCGGGAGAGGUAAGACGUACUUCGGGGGUAGGAGUGAAAUCUUGUAAUCCCCGAGGGACGACCGAUGGCGAAGGCAUCUUACCAGAACGGCUUCGACAGUGAGGGACGAAAGCUGGGGGAGCAAACCGGAUUAGAU